UAACAGUGUGUGGAACUUUUAUCGUGAGUUGUUUAUAUAUAUGAAAUAUGAAUGAGAGGUUUGUUUGAAUGACUUUUUGAAAUAGGAAUGCGGUGAAAAGCAGGGUCAAAUAGAGCGAGCCAUUAGAGAAAAGCGAUCAGUGGAAGAAGAGCUUGAAAAGAUUUGUAGAGAAUACGGAGGACAUGAAUCUGACAACAGAAAACUAGAGCAACUGCAUCAGAAAUACCUACUUGCAGAGACUGCCAAAUGUGACCUUCAGCUGAGUCUGCAGACAACACAACAUAAACUGAAACUGUUGGAAAUGAAAUAUAGUCUCCCCUGUCUCCAAACCAUCACAGCUUCAGUGAAGUGACAGAAGGAAAAUGUAAAAUUGACUUAAUUCGUGACUUUAAAGAAGAGUCUCUUUCAGCUUUGAGGAAGAGAAAUCUAAUUACCAGAAGAAUAUCUGUAACUUGCAAAGCAUUCUGGAUUCAGAAAGAGAAAAGAGCAGCUCCAUUGGUGAGCAAAGGUUAAAGCUUCAGCAAGAGAAUGAACAACUGCAAAAAGAAAUUGAAAGCUUGAAAAAAGCGGCCUCAGAGGCACAGCAGAAAGCCAAAAUAAAGGUAUGGUUUUGCAACACUCUAAUGCAAUGGAAAGUACAGUAGUGAUAGCAGGGUAGCUAUCACUAGUCCUAGGCUACAGCAAGUGAGGAUAUGCUCAAAUGCAGCAGUUAUAGAUGCAGAAACAAAAGAUAAAAUGUGCUUUCCCUUGGAAGGUCUCAGGUGGGCAGGGAUAUCCACCAAGACAUCCUUGCCUCCACUGCCAGCCCUUAAAUGAGGUCUGGGAAGUCACUCAGGUAUUUUGCAUGUACCCGAGCUGCCCUGGUUUGGCCCUGCCUUCCCACCAGGUGCUCAAUCACUGGUUCAAGCCGUGUCUUAACGUUUCUGCUACAGGUUUAUAUGCUGUUUCUAAGGCUGAUGUUUGCUUAAUAAGACAGCAUUUCUAGGAAAAAAUAUUUGGAAGUUUAAUUUGAGGGUGAAAGUUUCAAUGAUGCUUGCUCUUUUUUCCUUUGUAAAUAGUUUCGUUUCAGCGUUGUGUGUCCUCAAGAUUUAUUUAGUAGCUCAGUCUCUGCUGACUGUGCUUGUUAAGACGAUCCCAAGCGUUCUCUCUUAUUUCACAGGAGGAGUAGUCCAAAUGGUAAAAAAUUUUCUCC
Lagopus leucura (white-tailed ptarmigan) is the source of this 1192-nucleotide long non-coding RNA. RefSeq lists it as uncharacterized. Lineage: Eukaryota; Metazoa; Chordata; Aves; Galliformes; Phasianidae. The record is from RefSeq and is a predicted model, not a curated record. The transcript is spliced from 3 exons.